Molecule: ribosomal RNA, 910 nt
Filed under: uncultured Bacteroidota bacterium
Lineage: Bacteria; Pseudomonadati; Bacteroidota
Description: bacterial SSU rRNA
Rfam family: Bacterial small subunit ribosomal RNA
Source: RNAcentral
CGCUAGCGGUAGGCCUAACACAUGCAAGUCGAACGGUAACAUAGAGAGCUUGCUCUCUGAUGACGAGUGGCGGACGGGUGCGUAACACGUAUGCAACUUACCCCUAUCUAAGGAAUAGCCCAGAGAAAUCUGGAUUAAUACCUUAUAACAUCAUUUCAUCGCAUGGUGAGAUGAUUAAAGAGUUAUCGGAAAGGGAUAGGCAUGCGGCCCAUUAGUUUGUUGGUGAGGUAACGGCUCACCAAGACUACGAUGGGUAGGGGGUCUGAGAGGAUGAUCCCCCACACUGGUACUGAGACACGGACCAGACUCCUACGGGAGGCAGCAGUGAGGAAUAUUGGUCAAUGGACGAAAGUCUGAACCAGCCAUACCGCGUGCAGGAAGACAGCCCUACGGGUCGUAAACUGCUUUUGUUAACCAAGAAACCUCCCCACGUGUGGGGAGCUGACUAGUUUUCGAAUAAGGACCGGCUAACUCCGUGCCAGCAGCCGCGGUAAUACGGAGGGUCCAAGCGUUAUCCGGAUUUAUUGGGUUUAAAGGGUUCGUAGGCGGAAAGAUCAGUCAGUGGUGAAAGCCUGUGGCUCAACCAUAGAAUUGCCAUUGAUACUGUCUUUCUUGAAUGCAAAUGAAGUGGGCGGAAUGUGUCGUGUAGCGGUGAAAUGCUUAGAUAUGACACAGAACACCGAUUGCGAAGGCAGCUCACUAAAUUGUGAUUGACGCUGAGGAACGAAAGCGUGGGGAGCGAACAGGAUUAGAUACCCUGGUAGUCCACGCUGUAAACGAUGAUCACUCGAUAUUGGCGAUAUAUUGUCAGUGUCCAAGCGAAAGUGGUAAGUGAUCCACCUGGGGAGUACGCUCGCAAGAGUGAACUCAAGGAAUUGACGGGGGCCCGCACAAGCGGUGGAGCAUGUGG